This 491-nucleotide ribosomal RNA is filed under the name uncultured bacterium. RNAcentral's name for it is "SSU rRNA". It matches the Rfam family "Bacterial small subunit ribosomal RNA", at positions 26 to 523 of the family's 1533-position model. The record is from RNAcentral.
AGAGCGAACGCUGGCGGCGUGCUUAACACAUGCAAGUCGAGUGCGCGCCUGUAGCAAUACAGGUGGCGCACGGCGCACGGGUGCGUAACACGUGGGUAAUCUGCCCUUCGAUGGGGAAUAACUUCGGGAAACCGAAGCUAAUUCCGCAUAAUAUUCCGAGAACCUUGGUUUUUGGAUUCAAAGGCGUAAGUCGUCGGAGGAGGAGCCCGCGCACGAUUAGCUAGUUGGUGAGGUAAUGGCUCACCAAGGCUAUGAUCGUUAGCUGGUCUGAGAGGAUGGCCAGCCACACUGGAACUGAGACACGGUCCAGACUCCUACGGGAGGCAGCAGUGGGGAAUCUUGCACAAUGGGCGAAAGCCUGAUGCAGCGACGCCGCGUGGGGGAUGAAGCUUUUCGGAGUGUAAACCCUUCGACCCGGACGAAUGCCCGCAAGGGACUGACGGUACGGGUAUAAGAAGCCCGGCUAACUACGCGCCAGCACGCCGCGGUAA